This is a long non-coding RNA of Manis javanica (Malayan pangolin), 1120 nucleotides long. RefSeq lists it as uncharacterized. Lineage: Eukaryota; Metazoa; Chordata; Mammalia; Pholidota; Manidae. The record is from RefSeq and is a predicted model, not a curated record.
GGCGUCAGACGUGCUGCAGCGAGCAGAGGCCAGUCCCUGGUGCCGAAGCCGCCGCCCCUGCCCGUGGCCGCACCCCCUCCCGCGCACCUACUUGUCCCGAGGCAGGCAGGUCUAUACUUCAACCCUUAGGAAGAUGUCCUUUUAAUUUCGUUCUCCUACUGCCAGCUGGUGUCGGGAAAGUGCCACUGCAGAGCAGAAGCGACGAGCUGACAGGUUCCAGCCCAGACGAGAAGGGGCAGUUUCAGGACGGAGUCACCAACACACAGCUUUGCAUAAAUGUAUAAUGCCUUGUCCUGGGAGACAACACUGAAUCCCAACAUUGCCGGCACCUGCCCAGGGCGAGUCUGCACACUGGACCCGGCACCGCGAGGGUAGGCGGGCUGGUCCUCCUGACCCCCCCAGCACACACGGAGCCUGGUGAAACAGCAGGAGAGCUGCCCGCAGAAGAGGCCUGCUGCGUGAGGCCAUGUGUCUGGCCAUUUAAUCUUAAGUAUUAACCCGUCAGGAAAGAAUCAUAGCGCUUUACAUAAAUGUGUGAAAUUCCACUUGUAUUCUUUUGGUCAAUUCUGCUUAUAGGCAAACAUUAAGAAUAUAAAUUAGUUAAGAGUUACAACCUGAUGAAUCACAAUAACUACUCUUCCAUUUACUGAGAGUUUUUUUCCAUGUGGCAUUUUUCUAAGCAGUUUAAACUCCCAAUAGGGGGGCACUACUCUUAGCCCCACUUCCCACAGGAGGAACCGGAGGCUCAGAGAGGGGCUGGCGGUGGGGCAGGGAAUUCCAACACGGCAGGAGUGCGGAGCCGGCCUAGCCACCAGGGCACAGGAGGUGAAGUCAGGAAGGGAAGGCUGAAUGUAGUUUAAUUAGGACAAUUAACCCUCAGGUCCUCAAAUAACAUGAAGAAAAUGGCCAUGAAAACUGCACAUUAAUUAUUUUCCCUUUUGAUUUCCUCCCACAUAAAAUAAUUGCUACCAGAUAACAAUAAUCCCCUGUUUUUAUGACUCCUCCACAAACCAAAUCUCUUCAGCUGAGGUGAGACCGAGGUGGUCACGUCAGCAGAGGCCCCAAAGCCCGACUAAGAACACAGGGAAACUACGGCUCAGCGCGCAAGGCCUGGCUCCUA